GACGUAGGGUGCAAGCGUUGUCCGGAUUUAUUGGGCGUAAAGAGCUCGUAGGCGGCUCGUCGCGUCGGCUGUGAAAACCCGCAGCUCAACUGUGGGCUUGCAGCUGAUACGGGCGGGCUAGAGUUCGGUAGGGGAGACUGGAAUUCCUGGUGUAGCGGUGAAAUGCGCAGAUAUCAGGAGGAACACCGGUGGCGAAGGCGGGUCUCUGGGCCGAUACUGACGCUGAGGAGCGAAAGCGUGGGGAGCGAACAGG
This 253-nucleotide ribosomal RNA is filed under the name uncultured bacterium. RNAcentral's name for it is "partial 16S ribosomal RNA". It matches the Rfam family "Bacterial small subunit ribosomal RNA", at positions 524 to 776 of the family's 1533-position model. The record is from RNAcentral.